Molecule: ribosomal RNA, 497 nt
Filed under: uncultured bacterium
Lineage: Bacteria
Description: partial 16S ribosomal RNA
Rfam family: Bacterial small subunit ribosomal RNA
Source: RNAcentral
GAUGAACGCUGGCGGCGUGCCUAAUACAUGCAAGUCGAGCGAACAGACGAGGAGCUUGCUCCUCUGACGUUAGCGGCGGACGGGUGAGUAACACGUGGAUAACCUACCUAUAAGACUGGGAUAACUUCGGGAAACCGGAGCUAAUACCGGAUAAUAUAUUGAACCGCAUGGUUCAAUAGUGAAGGACGGUUUUGCUGUCACUUAUAGAUGGAUCCGCGCCGCAUUAGCUAGUUGGUAAGGUAACGGCUUACCAAGGCAACGAUGCGUAGCCGACCUGAGAGGGUGAUCGGCCACACUGGAACUGAGACACGGUCCAGACUCCUACGGGAGGCAGCAGUAGGGAAUCUUCCGCAAUGGGCGAAAGCUUGACGGAGCAACGCCGCGUGAGUGAUGAAGGUCUUCGGAUCGUAAAACUCUGUUAUUAGGGAAGAACAAAUGUGUAAGUAACUAUACACGUCUUGACGGUACCUAAUCAGAAAGCCACGGCUAACUACGUG